Molecule: transfer RNA, 73 nt
Filed under: Halimeda discoidea
Lineage: Eukaryota; Viridiplantae; Chlorophyta; Ulvophyceae; Bryopsidales; Halimedaceae
Description: tRNA-Leu
Rfam family: tRNA
About the family: Transfer RNA (tRNA) molecules are approximately 80 nucleotides in length. Their secondary structure includes four short double-helical elements and three loops (D, anti-codon, and T loops). Further hydrogen bonds mediate the characteristic L-shaped molecular structure. tRNAs have two regions of fundamental functional importance: the anti-codon, which is responsible for specific mRNA codon recognition, and the 3' end, to which the tRNAs corresponding amino acid is attached (by aminoacyl-tRNA synthetases). tRNAs cope with the degeneracy of the genetic code in two manners: having more than one tRNA (with a specific anti-codon) for a particular amino acid; and 'wobble' base-pairing, i.e. permitting non-standard base-pairing at the 3rd anti-codon position.
Source: RNAcentral
ACCUUGAUGGUGAAAUGGUAGACACAACUGAUUCAAAAUCAGUUUUUUGGAGGUUCGAGUCCUCUUCAAGGUA